Molecule: ribosomal RNA, 253 nt
Filed under: uncultured bacterium
Lineage: Bacteria
Description: partial 16S ribosomal RNA
Rfam family: Bacterial small subunit ribosomal RNA
Source: RNAcentral
UACGUAGGGGGCUAGCGUUGUCCGGAAUCAUUGGGCGUAAAGCGCGUGUAGGCGGCCCGGUAAGUCCGCUGUGAAAGUCGGGGGCUCAACCCUCGGAUGCCGGUGGAUACUGUCGGGCUUGAGUGCGGAAGAGGCGAGUGGAAUUCCUGGUGUAGCGGUGAAAUGCGCAGAUAUCAGGAGGAACACCGAUUGCGAAGGCAGCUCGCUGGGACGUGACUGACGCUGAGACGCGAAAGCGUGGGGAGCAAACAGG